UACGUAGGGUGCGAGCGUUAAUCGGAAUUACUGGGCGUAAAGCGUGCGCAGGCGGUUUUGUAAGACAGGCGUGAAAUCCCUGGGCUCAACCUGGGAACUGCGCUUGUGACUGCAAGGCUAGAGUACGGCAGAGGGGGUGGAGUUCACGUGUAGCAGUGAAAUAGCGUAGAGAUGUGGAGGAACACCAAUGGCGAAGGCAGCCCCCUCGGGUCGGAUACUGACGCUCAUGCACGAAAGCGUGGUAGC
This 246-nucleotide ribosomal RNA is filed under the name uncultured bacterium. RNAcentral describes it as "partial 16S ribosomal RNA". It matches the Rfam family "Bacterial small subunit ribosomal RNA", at positions 524 to 769 of the family's 1533-position model. The record is from RNAcentral.